UGGUGAUUCCUCAAAGAUCCUCACUAAGAACAUUUCCUUGGACUUACUUUAAUGUGGGUAAUGCAUUUUCCUCAGGAUUUUACCCAGGAUGCUGGCUUGCCCUCGCAGCCCAUGUUGUUUGUGGUGAAAAGUGUGUGUGUGUGUGUGUGUGUGUGUAUCUCCCCAAGUAGUCUUUUUUUUUUUUUUUCCAAGUAGUAGUCUUAUCUGUCUCCACGAAGCACUCCCUGACACACUGGGAGCAUAUUUGCCAAUGAAACAAGAACCAUCCAAUGCUUCAUCUCAUAGACUAUCUUAGCAUGAGUCAAAUGCCUGUCCACCAUGAAUCUUUAAUUGUGGGGACACACAGUCAGCUCUAGAAGUGGUUCUGUUGAAACCACUCAUACUAGCUUGAAGGUAAAGGAACUCACAGUUCAGUCAAGCAGCUCUGUCAAGAGAUAUCUAUUGCACAAACUAAUUUAUUAAUCAGACUGCUUUUACAUGCUCAAUGUAAGUAAGAUGUACCAGGAAUAGUUUCCAGUUAUCUCUUUUUAAAAUUUUCAUCUUCUCCAUGUUGGUAUACCAUAUAUAUUAUAUAUUUAUGGUUUAGUCAAAAAUUCUAAUUUAACUUCCUGCUACAUAAUAAUUUCAGAAGCCUUUGGAGUGUCUAUAAAUGGACACUAUCUAUUAAGAUCAUUCAUUCAUCGUGUUUAUAAAAAUUCAAAUUCCUGGCCUCAUUCCAGACUUGCUAAUAUAGAAUCUCUGCUGAUAAUGCAACAUUUAUAUUUUAGCAAGCUCUUCCUAAAUGAUUAUUUGCCAUAUUAACAUUUGAAAAAGUGCAAAAAAUAUUGAGCAUUUUUACAAAUUAAUGGUUAAUACAAAUGUGGUCACAAACCAAAGACUUUAUAUUACUUUAAUUUCUAAAUAGAAAUUUAUUGGUGUAACAAUUAAUAUGAAAACUUUACAUGAACACAUGAAUCUCAAAAUGUGUAUUUUCAAAAAUUACAUAAUCUCUGAAAAUGAAAUUAUUGGUUAACUUUAAAGAUAGUUCAAAAUCUUCAUUGCUUAGAUACCAAUAAAUUAAGAUUAAAAAUAACAGAAACCUUAUGGACAGAGACAGUAAGACCCUAUGAUAUUAGGACUAGAGAAGGGGGAUUUCAGCCUUGAAUUUUAACUACAAUAGUAAAGGUCAGUAAAUUUAAAAUGCAGAAAUAUUUAAUUUGGGUGAAUGUUCAAAAUAAGUAUAUUUUAAUCAUCAUAGUUUCACUUCUAUAAGAUUUUUGUUUUAAUUUACCCCUACAUUAAAUUAAAUUUCUGAUAAAAAUGAUAAUAUAAUUUUCCAAUUUCUUAAUCCUAAUAUAUCCAUAUCUUCAAUUAUUUUAGAAUAUAAAGUAUUGCUCCACAAAAGUGGCACAGAAAUUAAAUUUUGUUAUAACUCCCAUAAAUAAUGGAGCUUUAGUAUGACUUUUUAUUCUGUAAAACCCAGUUAUUAGUUGAAGUUACAGUGGUCUUCAGUUAAGUGAUGAAAUGUCACAUCUCAAGGAAAUUAUAUUUUGUCAUAGGAAGCUAAGAAAUGACACUAGGAAGGGCUUUUCAAUAAAAAGUAUCAUCAGGUUAUAGAAUUUUCAUUGCUUUCUUAAAAAAAAUACAAAAUUCAUCUAAUUAAUUCAAGCAUUGAGUCAGUUAUGGGACUUUUCUUCUAAGAAAGCUUCAAAUACUGUUUUAUAAUUUUGGUUUGUAUGAAUCUCUUACAUAUAGCCUUCCAACAUUAAUCCCAGUUCUGCAGUCCUAAAAUACCUAGGGAACUGAUCUCUGAGCUUUCAACCUAAGCCAGUGAAAAUAUCCAUUAAUUAAAUCAUCACACAAGGAACAUUAUGACUGAUGUGGUGAUAGAGAAGUUUAGGGGAUCCCUGGGUGGCUCAGCGGUUUGGCUCCUGCUUUUGGCCCAGGGUGCGAUCCUGGAGUUGCCGGAUCAAGUCUCACAUCGGGCUCCUGGCAUGGAGCCUGCUUAUUCCUCUGCCUGUUGUCUCUGACUCUCUCUCUCUCUCUCUCUCUCUCUCUCUCUAUCAUAAGUAAAUUUUAAAAAAGAGAAGUUUGGCAUGCUAUAGUAAUAAAUAUCAGAAAGAUCCAAACUUGUUUAGAAAUUAAGGCAACUUUCCUAAUGAGGUAUGAUUUAAGCAAAGACCUGAAGGCUAAACAAAGUGAUAAUGGGAAGAGCUAUUUAGAGCAUGUAGAGAGGUGCAGAGGCUAAGAACAUGGCAGCUUACAAAUACUUUCAGAAUUGAAAUUAAAACAUAGUAUGUAAAAAACACAGAAAUAAGAGAAACUGGAAAGAUAAUGGACCAAAAUAUGGAAACUAUACAUAUUAUUAGUUUGCCAGGGCUGCCAUAACAAAGUACACUGGUUGACUUAAAAGAAAUUGACUUAAAAGAAAUUGAUUUUUUCACAGUUCUGGAGGCUAGAAGUCCAAGGUCAAGGUGUGGACAGAGUUGGUUUCUUCUGAAGCCUCUCUCUGGCUUGCAGAUGGCCACCUUCUUGCUUGUCCUCACAUGGUCUUCUCUGUGUGUGUGUACGUGGCUGCCUCUGUGUUCUAAUUCCUUUUAUAAAGACUUAUAGUCACAAAGCCUUAGUUAUAAAGACUACAGUAAUAUUGGACUAGGGCCCACCCUAAUGACUUCAUUUUAAUCUGAUCACCUUUUUAAAGUCCCUACUCCAAAUACAGUCACAUCUGGGGUAGGAGGAGUCAGGACUUGAACAUAUGAAUUUUGUGGGGACAUAAUUCAACCCAUAACACCAAAUGUAGAUGUUUGCACUGUAACAAAUGGAAAAUGGGCAGCACUGAAGGUUUUUAAGUCAAUAGAAUGGUGGAUAUAGUUUCUCUUUGAAAGUUAUUUCAACAUGCCCUAUGAAUAACACUUUGAAAGAAAUUAGAUUUGUGGCUUGUUAGCAAUUGCCCAGGGGAAAGACAGUAGGGCUAGCGAGGUGACCUAGGAAUGGCAAGAUGGGAGCAGAUUACCAAGAGUUAGGUGGUAAAUAAUAUUUAAUUGUGGUUUGUAUAAUCAAAGGAGAGAAAAUUGAAGAUUAGAGAAAUUAUUUCAUAUUUAAAUGCUGGUAACAGGAAACUAGUAGAAAAGAAAAAAUUGAAAAUAAAAGACAAGGUAAAGACUUUCAAAAGCAUUACAUUGAUAAAGCAAGAUCUAGGUUCAGCUAUGAAGUCAACAAUCUCCCCUGUUAGGAGCAAAGGCCUGUCCUGCAGGAAAGAGCGUUGCCUCAUAUUUUCACUAUGUAAUGGGGAAAACUGAUUAGAUGGAAAAAUCAACUCCAUUGUCUAGAUAACAAUGAUUAUUGGAUCCUAAAUCCAGGAACUAAUCCCAAAGCAAACAGGUAGGAAUCAAAAAAGGAGAUUGUAGUUUUUCAAAUGGCACUUAAUAUGGUUCCACAGUCCAUUAUGUUUUCUGAGGCUGAAUAAAAGGAGGCAUAAACAA
This 3461-nucleotide long non-coding RNA is filed under the name Canis lupus familiaris (dog). RNAcentral's name for it is "lncRNA (ENSCAFG00000052596.1)". Lineage: Eukaryota; Metazoa; Chordata; Mammalia; Carnivora; Canidae. The record is from RNAcentral.